Molecule: long non-coding RNA, 977 nt
Organism: Nerophis lumbriciformis (worm pipefish)
Lineage: Eukaryota; Metazoa; Chordata; Actinopteri; Syngnathiformes; Syngnathidae
Source: RefSeq, a predicted model, not a curated record
CGCUUGGUAAGGUUCUGGAAGAUGUCACAGUUGUCCUGGUGUAAGAGCUUGAAGCCCACAGCCAGGUGGUGAUUCUCUAGGACCGACUCGUCAUUGUACAUCAGAGCCAGCUCGGAGUCUGGGCACAAGGAGGCAAGUGGUGGUCGACAUCGUGGAUAGCGGCAGCAAAGAGGGCGGCUAAGAUCUCGAGAUCGGUGAAGACAGCCUAAGGACAAAGAGAGAACAAGAAGCUUCCAAGAGCAUUUAAGUGACACUUUUCUCCCCACUAAGCGGACAAUGACUGAAUGUACUGAACAAACGGGCGGCGAGACCUUGGCGAGCUCAUCCUCGUGGUCCGUGUUAACCCCGAAGCGAGGCAUGGAGGAGCUGGAGAGGCUGGAGCUGUGGGACAGCUUCCGCACGCCGCUGAUAUGACUCAUCGGCUUGUCCUUCAGCGUCGGAGAUGGGAUGUCCACUUCGUCCUGCUUGUCUACAGAUUGACACAAUCAGUGACUCAUGGCUCGUAUUGGGAUGCAACGUGGCAGGAUUGGUGCUGCACUCACCCAGGAAGGUGCUGGAGAUGUACUCCGACACCUGGUUGCCUGAGCGACUCAUCUCGGACAGGUCAAGCAAGGCCCGGCUCCUACCUUGUUGGAGGCCAUCUCGCUGACCGAGCGGUGCGUCUGGAUGGUUUCCAGCUGGUCCAAACACCAGUCCAGUUCUUCCAGCGUGUCCAAGGCGAGCUGUUGAUGCUGUUGGUCCGACAGCUUGGCUCUGGGACUGACACACACGCCACUCAGCGGUGACCUCCUGAGUUCACAGAAAAAAGGAGUGUGUGACUGCUAUGUUGGCUCACUACCUGGAGACUGGAUGACAGUCUCCUGCUCCUGCCCCUGCGUAGCUCCGCCCCCAGCGUGGCCCCGGACGUGUAAGAUCGGCUGUAGCGCGGUGACUCUGCCUUCUCCCCGGCAACCGCUAUGUCCGUGUCAUCGCCCUGU